UACAGAGGGUGCGAGCGUUAAUCGGAAUUACUGGGCGUAAAGGGUGCGUAGGUGGCAGAUUAAGUUGGAUGUGAAAGCCCUGGGCUUAACCUAGGAAUUGCAUUCAAUACUGAUUUGCUAGAGUCGGGUAGAGGGAGGUGGAAUUUCCGGUGUAGCGGUGAAAUGCGUAGAUAUCGGAAGGAACACCAGUGGCGAAGGCGGCCUCCUGGACCUAGACUGACACUGAGGCACGAAAGCGUGGGGAGCAAACAGG
RNAcentral lists this ribosomal RNA (253 nucleotides) under uncultured bacterium. RNAcentral's name for it is "partial 16S ribosomal RNA". It matches the Rfam family "Bacterial small subunit ribosomal RNA", at positions 524 to 776 of the family's 1533-position model. The record is from RNAcentral.